Molecule: small nuclear RNA, 89 nt
Organism: Ursus americanus (American black bear)
Lineage: Eukaryota; Metazoa; Chordata; Mammalia; Carnivora; Ursidae
Source: Ensembl
GGUGAGUAAGAAAUUUAAUGACACAGAGAAUAUUAGCAUGGAUCCUGUGCAAGGAUGGCAUACAAAUUCACGAAGCAUUCCAUAUUUAA